Molecule: long non-coding RNA, 1556 nt
Filed under: Homo sapiens (human)
Lineage: Eukaryota; Metazoa; Chordata; Mammalia; Primates; Hominidae
Description: non-protein coding lnc-JMJD1C-14:1
Source: RNAcentral
GGGCUCCCGGCCUGGGCCUCCUGGGUCUCCGGGACGCACUGCCCAACGGAAAAGUUUUCAGCCCAGUCUGUGCCUCGCCGCCAAGCAGCCCUUGGGGCUUCUCAAAGUGGUAGAGAAAAUAGGACAGCUCUACAGGAUGCCCCAAAGAAAACCCUCAUUUGUCGACCAGGCGACCUUAGUGCUGGCGUGGGACUACAGCUGCGCAGCCAGCAAACCCCAGUUGGGGGAGGGGGAGAAGUGGCAGUAGAGUUCGCAUCUGGGGCUUGCUCUAAAGCGCUCUUUGACUGCUUUUGGAUUCCAUAUUUGAAGUUGAGAGUCGUAUUCCACCUGGUACAGGCAGUUCAGGGCAGGAGAAAAGCCAAGUGAACUCUGUGACUCAAUCCCCUUGGAAUGUGCCUGGAAUAAUAAUAGGGACUUGAAAGGGUUUUAUGGCCGAGGUGGCUAGUGGAGAGCAGUCUCCUACGCCUUGCAGUUGGCGGUCGGCCGAGGGGGGCAGUAUUGCCUUAUGCAGAGCUUCUGCGCCUGCAAACGGGACAAAAAUAGUCGGAGCAUCUGGUUUAAAUCAACCAAAAAGCAUUUCUAUCAGCUUAAUCCACCGGCCUACAGAACUGACAGAACAGGACAAGCCAAAUAUAUUCCCGGUACUCUUUUAACACUCCAAUAAUAGCUAAGCCCAAUCACACUUUACCGCUGGGAUUUCUGUGUCCUACCAUACAACUGUCGUUAUUUUAUAGAUGUUGCAAAUUAAACUUCCUUUUCUGGAGUUGUGUGUGGGCAUGUGCUUAAGCAGUUACAUUUGCAAGCAACGCUCGACUACGCUGCCCUUUUCGUUUUCCUUUUUCUUUCUCUCUUUUGGUAUGAGGUCUUAGAAUAGUCAAAAGUAUCUAAGGCCAACAUAUGGGUUGCUUACACCACUAAAUAUAUAGCUGCAUUUCCCUCUCUUAACGCCCUAAUCAGGAUUCCAAAGUGGCCGCUACCAAGUCCCGUUCUUGGAAAGUGGCCAACAGUCUGUCUGGUGGAGGGUGCUGCUAAUUAGAGAGAGCCCAUAAACCUCUCUGUCAAAGAGGGCAUGUGACCUUCUCUUCAAGUCUGAACAAUAAAGCCGGCGAACUGCAGACUGCACUCAACACUGGCUGCCCCGCGGAUUCCCUAAAUAGGAACAGGAUGAAGGCCAGGCUCAAGAGGUUACCAUAGCUCUGCUCCCACACUUUGAGGAAUCGGUCACUCCACUUCCCCAUAUAACUUGUUUCAAUUACUCUCUACAAUCUAUUUAGAGGAGAGCAGCUUGCAGAGAGCACUCAUUGUCUAAUCUAAAUGAGGAAGCAAUUAUUACUUGCUGCAGUCUAAUGUGCUUUGAGACUGGUGGGUCAAAGAGCAACCUGAUUUCUUGUAACGUGUCUUUGCACUUUGGAAGAUACACCUUUUUAAUGACAUUUAUUUACUCCUGCUUUUAGGACACAUUUUUCUUUCUAUUAAGAUUACAAAAUUAAGGUGUUUUUCCCCUUCUCAGUCUUCAAUGUCCUUUUUAAUUUUAGAAUUUAAGCUAUUGUAAACAC